GACGAAAUCGAUGGAGCCCGAAUCGAUGGGCUUCAUCAGGGCGAUGGAGAGGAGGUGGAAGGCGAAGGACGCGAUGAGCGGCGCCUUCUCCACGGGGGACUCCGCCUCGGCCAGCUUCUGGUUCACGACGACGAGCUCGUCAAGGUGCUCCUUGAACUUCGGGUUGUAGGUGUCGAUGACCUGGGGGAAGAUGGACGCGGUGGUCUUGUUGGUCUGGUGGAUGACGUGCAUGUUGAACUGGGUGGUGUUCAGGCCGAUGGACUCGUAGAACUCGGUGCGGGAGUGGUCGUUGAGGUACAUGGUCACGUACACGGACAGGCAGAAGAACCUGGCCCACAGCUUGGCCUCAAAGUCGUUGAUGAACUCAGGCCUGGCCUUGAGGCACGCGGUGAAGAAGUCACCGUGGCGGUUCUCGUCCUGGCACCAGUUCUCGAAGUACUGGAAG
This 445-nucleotide long non-coding RNA is filed under the name Micromonas commoda. Its description in RNAcentral is "long non-coding RNA (MCOM_LNC000358)". Lineage: Eukaryota; Viridiplantae; Chlorophyta; Mamiellophyceae; Mamiellales; Mamiellaceae. The record is from RNAcentral.